AUGUUGCGGAGGAGCCCGAAUGCCGGCGCGAGACCCGGCUGGUCGCCGCGGCAGGACUCCAGGAAGUCCUUGACGCAGCCGAGCGCGCCUUCUUGGAAAGCCUCGACCUUGAACCUCUGCCCCUCGUCGCCAUCGCUGGCCGUCAAGUUCUGGAGGCAGCCAAGCGCGAGCUCCUGCGUCCGCGGCGUGCCGAGUGAGACGAGCUGCACGAUCAGCGGGAGCGCGCCCUCGUCGCGGAACGCGGGGAGCAGGUCCGGGAACGCGGCGAUGUUCCGGAGCACGCCCGCGGCGGCGGCCUGCGACGCCGGGGUGCCGGCGGCGCAAGCCACGAGGAGCGCGGCCACGCCGCCGCGCGCCGAGACGGCCGCCGCCGCGUCCCGUGACGAGGCGGUGAGCGGCUCCAGGGCAACGCACGCCUGCUCAGCGCUGGCACCGCCGGACUCCAGCGCGCGGCAGAGGUGGGGCACGACGGUGCCUGACUCCUGGGCCAGGAACAGGCAGCCGGCGUCGGAGGACGCGAAGGCGGCGAGCACGGACACGGCCUUGUCGCGCGAAGCCGGGAGGAGGUCGCCGGAGUCGAGCAUCGCGGCGACCGCGGAGACGGCGGCGGCGGAGUGCGACGCCGGCAGGGAACCGACGGACUCGGCGAGCGAGUCCAGCGCCGCGGCGCGGGAGACGGCGGAGCCAAGCCGGAGGCGGGGUAGCAGGCUAUCCGAUCCGCCACCUUCGCCCCCGGCCGGGGAUGGGGAGACGAGCAGGCGCGCGUCGGCCGCGAGCUGGGAGAGCGAGGCGGCGGAGGAGGAGAGGAGCGAGACGGUGUGGAGGUGGCCGAGGGGAGGGCCGCCGCAGACGGAGAGGAGGGCCUCGAGGGCGGAGGCGAGGGGAGAGAGGAGCGGCGCGGAGGGCGGGAAGGCGGGGUGGGAGAGGGAGGCGGAGAGCGAGGAGACGGAGGCGGAGAUGGAGGGCCAGUGGCGGCGGAAGGCCGGGGAGGAAGCGGCCGCGGCGGGGAGCUCGGCCAGGAGGCGGAGGCACUCCGCGAGCGCGUCGCCGGUGGCCGGCGGCGGUUGCAUGGUGUGGUGGACUGGAGGGGAGGGGAGGCAGAAACGGAAUGGGAGGGGGGAGGGAACUGAAAUGCCGAAAUGCUGGGCGCGUGUAGUGCGAAAUUGCGCUGGAUCUGCGCGCCACUAG
RNAcentral lists this ribosomal RNA (1188 nucleotides) under Triticum aestivum (bread wheat). RNAcentral describes it as "partial small subunit ribosomal RNA". Lineage: Eukaryota; Viridiplantae; Streptophyta; Magnoliopsida; Poales; Poaceae. The record is from RNAcentral.